Molecule: ribosomal RNA, 497 nt
Filed under: uncultured bacterium
Lineage: Bacteria
Description: partial 16S ribosomal RNA
Rfam family: Bacterial small subunit ribosomal RNA
Source: RNAcentral
GAUGAACGCUGGCGGCGUGCCUAAUACAUGCAAGUCGAGCGAACAGAUGAGGAGCUUGCUCCUCUGACGUUAGCGGCGGACAGGUGAGUAACACGUGGAUAACCUACCUAUAAGACUGGGAUAACUUCGGGAAACCGGAGCUAAUACCGGAUAAUAUAUUGAACCGCAUGGUUCAAUAGUGAAAGACGGUUUUGCUGUCACUUAUAGAUGGAUCCGCGCCGCAUUAGCUAGUUGGUAAGGUAACGGCUUACCAAGGCAACGAUGCGUAGCCGACCUGAGAGGGUGAUCGGCCACACUGGAACUGAGACACGGUCCAGACUCCUACGGGAGGCAGCAGUAGGGAAUCUUCCGCAAUGCGCGAAAGCCUGACGGAGCAACGCCGCGUGAGUGAUGAAGGUCUUCGGAUCGUAAAACUCUGUUAUUAGGGAAGAACAAAUGUGUAAGUAACUAUGCACGUCUUGACGGUACCUAAUCAGAAAGCCACGGCUAACUACGUG